AUCAUACUGGAAGGCUCUAAAAUCCCCCACCCCAUGACACUGGGAAGCUCCCCAAAAUCCACCCAGCCCUGCUCAGGAUUAUAAGGAAGCCUUGAUCGGAGCGCCCAUGAGACAGAAGCUCUGUGUGGACCAGAUGUGGUGCUGGCAACUCCUCUGAAGAGUGGCUACUCAAGCCAAGCUUGGAGGGUCUGGCCCAACUGGGAGGGGGCCCAGGUGGAGGGCGGGGUCCUCUGUCUCUACACAAGAGCCUCCCCACCCCCAAUCUCUGUCAACUAUUAAAUAAUGUAAGAGUCUGUCUGGCA
This is a long non-coding RNA of Mastomys coucha (southern multimammate mouse), 302 nucleotides long. RefSeq lists it as uncharacterized. Lineage: Eukaryota; Metazoa; Chordata; Mammalia; Rodentia; Muridae. The record is from RefSeq and is a predicted model, not a curated record. The transcript has 2 exons.